This 72-nucleotide transfer RNA is filed under the name Collybiopsis luxurians FD-317 M1. RNAcentral describes it as "tRNA-Thr (CGT) (tRNA-Thr-CGT-2-1)". It matches the Rfam family "tRNA". From Rfam's summary of the family: Transfer RNA (tRNA) molecules are approximately 80 nucleotides in length. The record is from RNAcentral. Lineage: Eukaryota; Fungi; Basidiomycota; Agaricomycetes; Agaricales; Omphalotaceae.
GCCCUUUUAGCUCAGGGGUAGAGCGUCUCACUCGUAAUGAGAAGGUCGCUAGUUCGAAUCUGGUAGGGGGCA